Bombus impatiens (common eastern bumble bee) is the source of this 417-nucleotide long non-coding RNA. RefSeq lists it as uncharacterized. The transcript is spliced from 2 exons. The record is from RefSeq and is a predicted model, not a curated record. NCBI's taxonomy places the organism in Eukaryota, Metazoa, Arthropoda, Insecta, Hymenoptera, Apidae.
GUACCGCAACUAAGCUCGCCACGACCCAAUCGGCCUCUGCUCUCUGCUCUCGUCUCGUUCCCGCCGUCUUUUUUCUGCGUUUCUACUAGCCGCUGUGGAUCUAAUCGCUCGACGCUGUUUUCGCGGAUCGAAACGGUAUUGAACUUGCCAGCCUAUCGACGAACGCAUCAAUCGGAAUCGCGAAACAAUCGCGAAUGGAGAAAAAUUUCAGGUUCCUGGUGACUUCUGGCACAUGGCAGACUGAAGAGUUCGUCUUUGAAUUAAACAAAGACCAGAAAGUUAAGAAAACAAGACCGGCGAGUUUAGCUAACAAAUCACAUUGGUUGGCAGCAAACCACCUAUUUGACGGUGGCUGAUUGUUCCGAAGACAAUAUCUCUUGACAAGUUGUAUGUAGUCAUACAAUUGGCUAUGGAUUG